GAUGAACGCUGGCGGCGUGCCUAACACAUGCAAGUCGAGCGAGAAAUAAAGAUAUUAAUCUUCGGAAGCGUAUCUUUAUGGAAAGCGGCGGACGGGUGAGUAACGCGUAGGCAACCUGCCCUAUACAGGGGGAUAGCCACGGGAAACCGUGAUUAAUACCUCAUAACACUGACGAGUCACAUGUCUUGUUAGUCAAAGAUUUAUCGGUAUAGGAUGGGCCUGCGUCUGAUUAGUUAGUUGGUGAGGUAACGGCUCACCAAGGCGACGAUCAGUAGCCGACCUGAGAGGGUAAUCGGCCACAUUGGAACUGAGACACGGUCCAAACUCCUACGGGAGGCAGCAGUGGGGAAUAUUGCACAAUGGGCGCAAGCCUGAUGCAGCAACGCCGCGUGAGCGAAGAAGGCCUUUGGGUCGUAAAGCUCUGUCUUAGGGGAAGAAAAAAAUGACGGUACCCUUGGAGGAAGCCCCGGCUAACUACGUGCCAGCAGCCGCCGU
Molecule: ribosomal RNA, 495 nt
Filed under: uncultured bacterium
Lineage: Bacteria
Description: bacterial SSU rRNA
Rfam family: Bacterial small subunit ribosomal RNA
Source: RNAcentral